RNAcentral lists this ribosomal RNA (414 nucleotides) under uncultured Glomeromycotina. RNAcentral's name for it is "SSU rRNA". It matches the Rfam family "Eukaryotic small subunit ribosomal RNA", at positions 677 to 1092 of the family's 1831-position model. Lineage: Eukaryota; Fungi; Glomeromycota. The record is from RNAcentral.
CGUACUGGUGUUACUGAUUUCUACCUUCUGACGAACCAUCAUGUCAUUAAUUUGGUGUGGGGGGAAUCAGGACUGUUACUUUGAAAAAAUUAGAGUGUUUAAAGCAGGCUCGCGCUUGAAUACAUUAGCAUGGAAUAAUGAAAUAGGACGUUGAUCCUAUUUUGUUGGUUUCUAGGAUUGACGUAAUGAUUAAUAGGGAUAGUUGGGGGCAUUAGUAUUCAAUUGUCAGAGGUGAAAUUCUUGGAUUUAUUGAAGACUAACUACUGCGAAAGCAUUUGCCAAGGAUGUUUUCAUUAAUCAAGAACGAAAGUUAGGGGAUCGAAGACGAUCAGAUACCGUCGUAGUCUUAACCAUAAACUAUGCCGACUAGGGAUCGGAUGAUGUUAUUUUUAAUGACUCAUUCGGCGCCUUACG